CGCGCCCCGCGACCCCAGCCUGGCGUUUGAAGCUAUGCAAGUGACUGGUCUGCAGAAUCGGUGAUUCCCCGUCGCGCUGACCUCACCACGAGUGUCCGCAUGGCAGAGAUGUGGCCGCGAGUGUCAGCGCUUCUGCUGUGACUCCAGCUCCUGAGUGCAUCUGAACGCAGGAGGCAGACACCGCUGGAUUUCAAGAGGGCCAGCCUUGCUUUGCGCCACAGUGCACGCCCAUGCCUGCCUCCCCCGUGGCCCAGCUCUGAAUGUUGGCGUAUGUUUUGGCACUGAUGGACAAGAGAAACACCGUGUUGGCAUCAAGUGAGGCCUGACAUCACUUCCCAAGGGUAUAGACCUUAUGUCUUCUCCUUUCUGAAAAUUGCCCCCUUGUAAUUUUUACUAUGAUGAUGUGUCUCUUUUUCUCAUUAAAUGAUAGGAAACUUGGUAUUUGCACAUAACUCAAAAUAUAAUUUAAUUUCUUCUUGGCAAGGUUCAUAGUAUAACAUCUUAAAAAGUGUACUAGGUAUCCCAUUUGGUCACCUUUUGGACUUGAUUUACCUAAAGGGCUCAUAGGGAUCAGACAUAAGCAAAAUAUUGAACAGCAUUUUUUUUUUUUUUUUGAGAACUUUAGAAGACUAGGUGAGGAACUGGCUGGAGACGUUAGUAAAUGAACCCUCUGCUCCGCAAAGUGUUGAAUUAAGCAGUCUGUUGACUUUAAGGUUACCUUGGAGAUAGACCACAGAAUUUAAAAUGCAGUCACUCAAAAAGCAAAAUUGCUUGGGAAUAAAAGGCAAUAAUUACUAUUACUCUUUCUGCAACUAGAGAGAGAGAGAGAGAGAAAAAAAGACAACUCCCACUCCAAACCUUGAAACCUCAGCAGAUACCUGGAGACUCUUGAAAUGGUGUUUUGUGAUCAAAGUCACAGUCCUUAGGGUAAGCAAACUGCAGGCUCCCUCUCGCUGUGUGUUUUUAAACCUGAGCUACUUUGAUUGCUUUUCUGUCUAAACACAAUAAACACCCUUGACCUUGAAUUAUACCGUUAGGAGAUAAAAAUCUGGUCUC
Molecule: long non-coding RNA, 1056 nt
Organism: Talpa occidentalis (Iberian mole)
Lineage: Eukaryota; Metazoa; Chordata; Mammalia; Eulipotyphla; Talpidae
Exons: 3
Source: RefSeq, a predicted model, not a curated record